CAAAACAAAACCUAGAAUUGUUGCCUAAAUUCUCUAAACAAUAGUCUAAACCAGGGGUUUUCAAAGUGUGAGAGAGUGAGCCCCCCCUCAGAGAAAAAAAUUCAGCUGAGCCCCCCCCCCAAUUUUUUUUUCUAAAUACCUGUGUUUUGAAAGCUAUUUUAAUUAUUUUACACAUUUCAAACAUCUCCGAUCAUAAUUUUAAAACAUUUGUAACAUAUUUUUGAAACAUUUGAAACAAAUUUUUAACAUAUUUUUUAAACAUAUUUCUGAAACAUUACAACAUCUUUUUGGUUUUUAAACAACACAAUUUAACAACUUUAUCUAAGCAUGUUUUAGCUUAACCUUUUUUAAAUACAUUUGAACAUCUUAAUCUGUGUAAACUGCCAGUUUACCGAAUCAUUCAGGGUCCCCGACUCUGAAUUUUCUGAGUCGAAUCAGAUCUGCCUUUUCAGUCCAGAGAUUCGACUAUUCGGCGGGGUUUGUUUACCGGCGUUGCUAUGGUGACCUAAAUUAUUAUAGAGGGUUUUCACGGCGCGUCAUCAGCGCGUCAUCAAUCCGGCAGUCGCCAUGUUGGAGGUACUCGGCAAGGUAAAUAAACCGCACGCCAAGUUGUCAGAGGAAAGGAGGCGCUUGUGGUUAGCGAAGCUGAACCAGGAUCUACGUGGCAAAAAUCUGGACAACGUCCGAAUUUGUUCGGCCCAUUUCUUGUCAGGUACAAGGUCUGACCUUUAUCAAAAGGAUGACCCAGAUUGGGUGCCAUCUGUCGGAAUGACAGGUCAGCAAAGGUCUCCUGAAAAAGCUGGGACAUCAUCACGCUACAGCCGUCGUGGGAAUAGAACCCAGCAGAGACUGAGAGAAGCUGCUGCUGAUGCUGCUGCUGGUGCUGGAGUUGCUGCAGAGACUGAUGAUUCUGAGACUGAUGACCCUACUACAAGUGGUUAUAUCAGCAGCAAUUUGUGCAGCACAGAGACUCAAAGUGAAUUGACUGGUGAUUUAAUUGAGGCUAUGACCAGCAAACUUCAAAAUCUUAGAACUGAAAACAUCCAGUUGUGCUCUGAUGUUGCACAUUUGUCCACUACCUAUGACCAAAGUGCAUUUGUUGAUAAUGAUGAAAAGGUUUUAUUUUUCACUGGCCUACCUACAUACCUGGGGUCUCAUUUAUAAAACUGUGCGUGGGAUCGUUACUAAUAUGUGCGUACGCCUAGAAGCCAAGUUUUGCGUGCGCCAAAAAAUAUUCGGAUUUAUAAAACACUGCGUACGCACACCUGUACGCAAUCUUUGCUUUAUAAAUCACAUACUGACUAUAAUUGUGCGCAGCUGAAUCAGCUUCACGUUCCGCCCUCUACACGCCCCUUUUUAACCAUAAAUGGUCAAUGCAAAUGACCUCAUGAAUGCGAUCUGCAUAUAAAACAGACUCAGAUGCCGGUAUUAUGUCUUGUUGGAAACAAUGGCAGAAGUACUGAGAAAAUCAAAGCGAAAUUUCACGGAGGUUGAAGUGGAGACACUUGUGGGUGAGAUGGAGGCCCGAAAGGUAGUUUUGUUCGGCGGUCACGGGAUUGGAAUCGCCAACAACAAAAAGCAGAGUGAGUGGCAACAUGUUGCUGCAGCAGUGAACUCUGUCAGUAGCACGGAGCGCACAGUCCCAGAAUUAAAAAAGAAGUGGUCUGACAUAGAGUUACAUAUUUUUAUGUAGCCUACCAAUAAAUCGUUAUGGUCCCUAAAUACCCUCUCCCUCCGAAUCCUGCAUGGUCCGCCAGAAGUGCCACAUGGUGCAGCAUUACCACGGCGCUCACCUCUGUAUUUAUAGGGUUACGGUAAUAAGACUGACGAUAACGCCUUGGAUAAUCAGUUUGUAAUUACCCACGUAAAAGGUUCUUGAACAUAACCCCUUUUUAAUGCCUGAUUAGUCAUGAAAAGCAUCAAGAGUAACGGACAACGAUUGUGAUGAGUGUGGCUUGGUUUUUCACACUUGGGAUUUAAUUGACAUUUGAUCAUGUGUUUACAGUGUCACAUAAAAAUAUUAUGUUAUUGACACAUGUUGGACAGAUGCUUUAUUCCAUGCAGUCGCGCCGUCAGUGGACAGUAUGGAGUGACGGGAUUAAAUAUAGAGAAUUUCUUUUUAUUUUUAUUCUAAGGAGAUAUUUCUGGAGUUAUAACUGAGAAAUAACGCAGUGGACUUAAAUUAUACUGAUUAGGAUUUAACGCAUGAUACGGGUUGAAAUUAAAUUGAUGAAGGGCGAUGAUAAAACAUAAUCGUUCUUCUCACUCUGCAAUUCUUUGGUCUGACUUCAGUUCACCACCACACCAUCUGUGUCGCCAAUUCUCCUUUUCCUCCAAACCAUGCGUACGCAUGGGUCAGAGUUUGCUUAGGGCUGCGCACAUUUUCCCGUCAAGUUGGUUUUUUAUAGAUCACAACCUUGGCGUGAAAAGUCACGUACGCCAAUUUCAGCCCCGUUUUGUGCGUACGCAACGGUUAUAAAUGAGACCCCACAUACUGUUGGUACUCUUCACAUUCCUUAGUCCCCACCUCCCUGUGAAGAAGUCACUUGAUAAGUUUAAGCAGUUGAUGCUGACACUGAUGCGCCUUAGGCUUAAUGUUUCCACGACCUUCCUGUCAUAUGCAUUUAACAUAUCAAUAGCAACUGCUUCUAGGAUAGUCAAUGAUGUCAUUGAUGUCAUGUUUAUUCGUAUGAAACCACUUAUCAUAUGGCCAGAAAGAGAGCAUUUACAAAAAACUAUGCCAA
This is a long non-coding RNA of Gadus morhua (Atlantic cod), 2744 nucleotides long. NCBI's taxonomy places the organism in Eukaryota, Metazoa, Chordata, Actinopteri, Gadiformes, Gadidae. The record is from Ensembl.